This 440-nucleotide ribosomal RNA is filed under the name uncultured bacterium. RNAcentral describes it as "partial 16S ribosomal RNA". It matches the Rfam family "Bacterial small subunit ribosomal RNA", at positions 338 to 795 of the family's 1533-position model. The record is from RNAcentral.
CCUACGGGUGGCAGCAGUGGGGGAUAUUGCACAAUGGGGGAAACCCUGAUGCAGCGACGCCGCGUGAGUGAAGAAGUAUUUCGGUAUGUAAAGCUCUAUCAGCAGGGAAGAAAAUGACAGUACCUGACCAAGAAGCCCCGGCUAACUACGUGCCAGCAGCCGCGGUAAUACGUAGGGGGCAAGCGUUAUCCGGAUUUACUGGGUGUAAAGGGAGCGUAGACGGUUAUGUAAGUCUGGAGUGAAAGCCCGGGGCCCAACCCCGGGACUGCUUUGGAAACUGUGUAACUGGAGUACAGGAGGGGCAGGCGGAAUUCCUGGUGUAGCGGUGAAAUGCGUAGAUAUCAGGAGGAACAUCGGUGGCGUAAGCGCUUUACUGGGCCGUAAUUGACGCUGAGGAACGAAAGCCAGGGUAGCAAAUGGGAUUAGAUACCCCAGUAGUC